Molecule: non-coding RNA, 301 nt
Organism: Dipodomys ordii (Ord's kangaroo rat)
Lineage: Eukaryota; Metazoa; Chordata; Mammalia; Rodentia; Heteromyidae
Source: Rfam
GGAUGUGAGGGCGAUCUGGCUGCCACAUCUGUCACCCUAUUCAUCACCAGGGUUGAUUCGGCUGAUCUGGCUGGGUAGGCAGGUGUCCCCUUCCUCCCUCACCGCUCCAUGUGCGUCCCUCCCGAAGCUGCAUGCUCAGUAGAAGAAGACGACCAUCCCCAUAGAGGAGGAUCGGUCAAGGGUAUAUGAGUAGCUGCGCUCCCCUGCUAGAACCUCCAAACAAGCUCUCAAAAAGAUUCAGGGACAGUGCCCAGGCCCUGAGUUGAAGCCUCAGAACCAGGGGAGGAAAAACCCUGCACUC